Molecule: ribosomal RNA, 253 nt
Filed under: uncultured bacterium
Lineage: Bacteria
Description: partial 16S ribosomal RNA
Rfam family: Bacterial small subunit ribosomal RNA
Source: RNAcentral
GACGGGGGAUGCAAGUGUUAUCCGGAAUCACUGGGCGUAAAGCGUCUGCAGGUGGUUUCCUAAGUCCACUGUUAAACCUUGAGGCUCAACCUCAAAUCUGCAUUGGAAACUAGGAGACUUGAGUAUAGUAGGGGUAGAGGGAAUUCCUGGUGUAGCGGUGAAAUGCGUAGAGAUCAGGAAGAACACCCGUGGCGAAGGCGGUUCUCUGGGACGGUACUGACGCUGAGACGCGAAAGCGUGGGGAGCGAACAGG